Molecule: ribosomal RNA, 399 nt
Filed under: uncultured bacterium
Lineage: Bacteria
Description: bacterial SSU rRNA
Rfam family: Bacterial small subunit ribosomal RNA
Source: RNAcentral
UAUUGGACAAUGGGGGGAACCCUGAUCCAGCGACGCCGCGUGAGUGAAGAAGUAUCUCGGUAUGUAAAGCUCUAUCAGAAGGGAAGAAGAAAUGACGGUACCUGACUAAGAAGCCCCGGCUAACUACGUGCCAGCAGCCGCGGUAAUACGUAGGGGGCAAGCGUUAUCCGGAUUUACUGGGUGUAAAGGGAGCGUAGACGGCUAAUCAAGUCAGAAGUGAAAACCCAGGGCUCAACUUUGGGACUGCUUUUGAAACUGAGUAGCUAGAGUGCAGGAGAGGUAAGCGGAAUUCCUAGUGUAGCGGUGAAAUGCGUAGAUAUUAGGAGGAACACCAGUGGCGAAGGCGGCUUACUGGACUGUAACUGACACUGAGGCUCGAAAGCGUGGGGAGCAAACAGG